Columba livia (rock pigeon) is the source of this 3792-nucleotide long non-coding RNA. RefSeq lists it as uncharacterized. The record is from RefSeq and is a predicted model, not a curated record. Lineage: Eukaryota; Metazoa; Chordata; Aves; Columbiformes; Columbidae. The transcript has 3 exons.
UGAAGGUGUAGAGGAACAGCCUAUUUGAUGUGAUUGAAACAAGCUUAAAUUGAAAGCAUCCUAUUUUUCCCUCUUUUUUUUUUUUCAGAACUGGAGUAUUCCAAGUGGCAACGAGUGUGAGGAGGUCCACAGGAGCCUGGGAGGAAACUCUGGAUCUGAGAGCUUGAGAAGAAGCAUCUGGCCAAGAGCCUGGCAAAGCAACCCAGGCCAAAGAGCUUUUUUUCCCCCCCCGGAGCAUCCCACCUGCUAUGGUGGAGCAGGUAAUACCCAUCAGAUGAGCAACAUGAGGACAAGUAUGGGGAGAUGCUGCAUGAGUUGAAGCUGCCACCAGCUCCUCCAGGUAGGGCCUGGACCUACUUUUAUGUCACUCUCACCACUUCUAAGGAGAAGUGAUGUAAUUUAUUGCCCAGAGAUCUCUAUCCUGGUAUCACAGGGAGAGGAGGAACAUGCUCAGCAGCUUUCUGGGUCUCACCUGAAGGAUGGACCAAGGUGGACCACCCACCACCUGGUAUUUAACACCCAGAGCUUGGGGCAGCCUCUGACCUGGUAAAAGCAACUCUUAGCAGAUAAAAAUGGGUGAAGAAGAUGUCUUUGUGUAAAGAAAGAUGUUUUGUUGAGCUCCCUGCUGCAGGACAGUACCAAAACACCUUGCUGGGAAACCCUCGGAGAAGGAUUAAGCAUCUCUAGGCAAGGUCUCAGCACUGUUUGAAAUGAAAUGCGUCGGAAACGCUGCGCCUAAAGAGUUUCAAACAUUGAAGGUACCAAGACUCCCAACAAGGACAGCACAUCUGAGCAACACGGGGUGUUUCAAACAGAUGGAUCCAAUUCACAAUCAUUAUAUGUUUGAAAUAGUGUCCAUCUUUUUGAAACACCCUGUACUACGCAAGCCCCUUCUGCAUGAAUGGACCUGGAGCAAUCCCUCACUCCAUAAACCAUCGCGCAGGAGAUGAGACAGUCGGGAUACAGAAAUCAUCAGAACAAGCCUCCAGUUCUCACAUAUCCAUGUGAUGGUACAAGCGCUUUUCCCCGCAGAGCUACGAAAAACCUCGCUCAGCAUCUUCCCUCCGACUGGCAGCUUGUUGGCUCCCUCUCCAACCCUGGACCACCACGAGGGAGAACCACACAAGCCUUGGAGCCUCUGACCUUGCGUGGUGAUGCCUUUAAUCCCAGGAUUUUACUCAAGACCACCAUGGCUUUUUGAUCAAAAAAUACACUUUCUACCUUCCUCUGUAGGGCUGCCCAGUGGUUUUCAUGCUCUGAACCUCAGGUAGGAGGAGGACACAGCUGUGCUGGGGUUUUCUGAGCAGGGACAAGGUGAGGAAAUUAUUUAAUUGUCAAAGCAAGCACCAGCUCCUCAGCUGGAAGAGUGCCAGCAUGGGCCUUGGUGCAUUAGCAGGGCUGCACAGAUUAGAUUUGGCUUUUCACAUUGGCUCAUUGACUUUUGUCCUUUGGGUGGCAUCACUUGCACAGGAAGGAAGCAGUAGGUGACCUGCGGUGAGGCCGAGAUGGAGGGAGGUAUUCUUUAGGCAGUAAAUCCCACUGCUAGCAGUGUUGUGCUGCUCCAUGUGUCCCCACAGGUGCCAAAGCCACCACGGGAAUGUCUCAGAGGUUCCCCUUCUGAGCUGGCUGCAAGGAAGGAGGGUUAAGCAUCUACCCCAUGCUCAGGUCUUUGUUCUGAAUCUUGUUCUCAAAUUUUUAAGACUUUUUUUGCAUGACAUCUGCUUUUCCUUCUCCCUGCCUCUUUAGGAUAUAAAUGGAUUUUUCUUUCAGGCUGAAGCCCAAUGAUGUUCGCAGCAAGUUUUAGAAACAACCUCUGCCCUCUUCUCUCCUAUUCCUGACAUUAGCAUCCUAAUCUGUCUCCCAUAGCCACAUAAAGGUAGAAAAUACCACUCCAAUUUGUGACUCAGAACAUACAUACAUCUCAAAGCACAUCUGAUACCACAAAUAACUCAGAGUGUUUUCAGGGCAAUGUGGGUGUUUGUCUCAACCCCUUGGUAUGGAUGGCUGCACAGCACUGCAUCUCACCUACUUCUUAAUUAUAUUACGUAUCUUAUGUGAAUUAUUAGUUUGCAUGUAUGGUAUUAAUUUUGUAUACGCAGACAUGAAUCAGCCUCAUUUGGGGAACCCUAGUGACCCAGCCUGUUAACUGGCAGAGGGUGGAGGGAGCCCUGUUGCAGUAAGUUCAACUCCACAUGGGUGCAAGGCUUGGGUUGCAGUUGUAACAAGAAUCCCACCUUUCCGGAAACUCAAGGAUGAUGAUACUGAGUCUUAAAUCCAUAUGACUGGUGGAAAAAAUAACCCAGUGGGAACCUCUCCCCCACUAGAAGAGAUUUCCAAACAAUUAACCCGUCUCCUAUUCAGGCAAAAAUCCUGUGGGCAAAGGUUGGCUUUUGGCCUGAAUAAAACAUGGCAAAAUCCAGUCUGAGAUAAACGAUAGUUGGCGUACAAUGGUAUGUCUACAGUGGCAUACCAGUGCGAAUGUUAGAUUUUUCUUUGGCUCAGUGCCACGUGUCAAAUAAAUUGUCUCUCUACGUUAAACAAAAAAAUGCCUCUAUCAGUCUCAUGAUGCCCAAAUUUCUGUCUGAAAUAUAAAGUCCAUCCUUUUGCACAAAUCCAGCUCUUUGAAAUACAUUUACAGGAUGGAGUACUGUUUUGGUUGGAUUCCUACAGCACAGAGCUAAACGAACAAUGCAGAUUUUGGCUGAGAUUUCCAUGGCUUCACAUGAUAUUUCUUUUGGGCUUGGAGGGGAAGUGUUUCUCAAACAAAAAUGAACAGGGAUUUAGAAGCUAAAUUCUGUGUACCUUCCUUGUAGAAGACUCAUUUGUCCCUAGUAGGUAUCUUGACUUAUAUUCCAGUGUGCCUACAGGACAUAUAUAGAAAAUUUCCACAUCAAGCCAUCCUCUUUGAGCUAAAACAUGUCUUCCUGAAACGUGUCCGAGCCUUGAACUAACCACCUUCAGGUGAUGGAGCAUCCAUCAAGUACCCAACUACCUUUUCCUGCUACUUGAUUAGCUUCGCUCAAAACCACACAUCAUAUUUGCAGGUUGAAGUUGUGCAGUAUCCAAAACUGUUCCUGGCACCUCCUCAGUCUGCUGAAUAAAGGAGUCCCCUUCCAUCACACACCACGUAUCCCUCCCCCAUGCAGAUACUUAAAGGCCAUCAUCAAAUCACUCCUUAACAUCUUUAAGGAUGGAUCUAGGCUGAGCCUCUCUAGACUCUUGUCACAAAGCCUGGUUUCCAGAGCUAACUUAAUUCUAGUUACUGUUCUUCCAAAAAGGGUUUUGCUAACACUGUACAUGAAAAUAAUACCACCUUUCUUCUGCUGCUUGAUAUUCCUUUGCUUAUAUCUGCAAAGAUUACAUUUGCUGCUUUAUUUACAGCGUCACAUAGACUUUGUAUUCAGUGAGCUACAGACAAUUGUUCCUCAGUCCUCGACACAGCCACUGUUUGGCAGAAGACAUUUGCCUGUUGUUUAUAUUUGAUGUGCAUUCCUCCUGGCUGGACAUAUGACUUUGCAUUUGACUUCACUGUUUGAACAAGCCCUUUUGAUCAAACAACCUGAGUCAAGAAGCACAACUGAUUCAUUACCAUCAUUAAUUUCUAUUCUACCUGCUUUGGGGUCACUGGCACUUUUUACUGGCAGGGAUUAUAUAUUUUCUUCCACGUCAUUGAUAAAGAUACUGAAAAAAUAAUCUCAUCAGGAGUCUGCUAAAAACACCCACUGUAUAACAAUAUCUCACUAAUACUUAUUUUCUAAAAUCUAUAUUGUUGGUGGCUUUUAGUCCACAGAA